Molecule: ribosomal RNA, 485 nt
Filed under: uncultured bacterium
Lineage: Bacteria
Description: bacterial SSU rRNA
Rfam family: Bacterial small subunit ribosomal RNA
Source: RNAcentral
AUUGAACGCUGGCGGAAUGCUUUACACAUGCAAGUCGAACGGCAGCACGGGGGCAACCUGGUGGCGAGUGGCGAACGGGUGAGUAAUACAUCGGAACGUGCCCAAUCGGUGGGGGAUAACGUAGCGAAAGUUACGCUAAUACCGCAUACGAUCUACGGAUGAAAGCGGGGGAUCGCAAGACCUCGCGCGAUUGGAGCGGCCGAUGUCAGAUUAGGUAGUUGGUGGGGUAAAGGCUCACCAAGCCGACGAUCUGUAGCUGGUCUGAGAGGACGACCAGCCACACUGGGACUGAGACACGGCCCAGACUCCUACGGGAGGCAGCAGUGGGGAAUUUUGGACAAUGGGCGCAAGCCUGAUCCAGCCAUUCCGCGUGCAGGAUGAAGGCCUUCGGGUUGUAAACUGUCUUUUGUACGGAACGAAACGGUUCUCUCUAAUACAGGGGGCUAAUGACGGUACCGUAAGAAUAAGCACCGGCUAACUACGUG